UGUGUGGCUUGCCCUCGUAAGUUUCGUGCGUGCAUGCCAGAUGUAAUUAAUUUGUCAAGUACAAAUUCCAACCUAGCCUGCACACAUUUUAUAUUAUGAAUAAUAAUUCCCAUGAUUCAUUGCCGUCCUAUUGCAAAGGUCGAAGGUCGUGGGUACGUUGAGACAUGGCUAGUUCUUUGUCAUCAUUGUGUCGGCCGUUUCAGUCAUUGUGCCCGCCCUACUGAGUCCGGACAUUCGCCGAAAAUUUGCUGCCAUUUUGUUGCAGAAAAACCUCCCCGUGUGAUUUCGCGAGUGGUGUGAAGUGAUUGGAGACAAUUUGACCCCGUCAUUGUUCCCCCGUGGUCAGUCAAGUCGGCCUUUUUCUGGCCACAUAUCAGUGUCAAAUUUGAUCAGGGUAAAAUUUGCUGGGCUGGGCAUUCCAGCACAGGAUCUUAGAAGUAGAUCUUGCAGUUUUAAUUGGUGGCCAUUUUGCAAACCACUGAAGCUGAACAAUGGGCCUGAGCUGCUGUGUUCCUGGAUGCAACCACAAAAAUGGCAGAGAGCUCUGCAGUCUGUACAACUUCCCGAAUGAGAACGAUGGCCCAGAUUGGAAGCAGUGGUAUAAUAUGUGGUGCGAGCGCAUCGGCAAAUCACACAGGGAUGGAAGCGGACAUGGCUGGAUGCCUACAACUUGGAGUCGAGUCUGUAGUUGCCACUUUAAGGAAGAGGAACGCUGGAAACCACGAACUCGUCAGCCAGGAUUGAAAUUCCGCGCUCCUGUGUACUUCCCAUUCAUGAGUGGUGCUUCCGGCAGUCUCACAAAAUCUGAACCGAUGAAUAAAACCCCGCUUCUGGCAGGUUUGAGGGUUGAUACAGGAAUGAAGAGCAGUCUGCUGGCUGGACUUAAUGUGAAAAUAGUUCCUGCUGAUAAUGAUAAGGCAUCUGAUACAGAAACUACUCAAGAUUCCAAACCGGGUAGCCCAUCAGAAAAUGAUGUUCAAAUGAAAGAGGAGACGAGAAAGGAUGGUGUCAAACGGGAGAGUCUCGACUCUGGAGAAACAAGCGCAAAAAAGAGUAAACUCGAAGAUGAUGAUGAUGAUGAUGACGAUGUUGAGAUGAUAGAAGAUGACGAGGAAGAGAACCUCAAAGACAAGCGAGAUGUUGCCGCAACGAGCAAGGCCAAGAACAUGACCAAGACCAAAACCGAGGAUGAUGAUGUCCAGAUGAUUGAGGAGGACGGAGAUCCGGCGAAAGCAGUGCAAGAGAAGACAGCUCCCAAGGAGAAAGGGAGUAAGACGUCCAGUGAGCGCCUGCUGAAAGCCUUGACACAACCCAACUCCCCAGCCCUGCAGAUCAUCCACUCAUCCUCUGCCAGCAACAGUCCAGUCCCCAUGAACAUGAGCAGUGGCCAGUCCUCAGGCAGCAGUGCCAGCGCCUACAGCUCCCUCGUCCAGAUGAACGCCAAGUCACAGAUACCAGGUAACACGGUACUGUCAUUAUCCAACCGUACUGUAGCGCCCCAGAGCAAGUAUGCUGAACUCCUAGCAGUCAUUGAAGACAUGGGCAGAGACAUCAGGCCUACCUACUCCGGUAGCAGAACAGCUACUGAGAGACUCAAAAGGGGUAUCGUUCACGCCAGGGCCUUGGUGAGGGAGUGCUUAGCAGAGACAGAGCGCAGCGCCCGGUCAUGAUAGCAGCCCGUGUCGUCUCCUUAUGAUAAACUGUAAUAUAUAUGCUUUCCCACACAAUUUUUUUAAAAAGCCAAAUUGUCCCUGAUCAGCCAACUCUGGAUUCGCCAAGUAAUGUUACUUCGUUGUCAGUUUCUGUAAUAGAAAACACCGACUUGGCUCUUUCCUACUGUUAAGCAUAAAACUUUUGCUAAGCACAAAAAAUAUCUGCUAAGCAAAACUGGGUUACCAGCCAAAAUGACAUGCAGUGCACACUGCUUGUUACUGGUUUCCAGCUUAUAUUUGUUCAGCACAUAAAAUUUGCUAAGCAGCUCCAUGAAAUUGGACACUGGAUUUUAAAGUUUUUUUCCACCUGCUAACAACCAAUUAUUUACUUGAGAUGUAUUCCGUGACCCUGGAGAGCUUGCGAUAUAUUUACUUGCUGAACAUUUUGUCUUUGAUGAAAGUGUUACAUCAGUGUACAAUUCAGAGCAUCUCACAAGAUGCUGAAAAUACUCCACUAUUAACAGGGAAAGCCCUGGAACACUAGGUUUCCAGAAGUAAUGGGAACAUUCUGAGUAUGAAAUGCUCCUUUAUUAAAAAGCACAGUUGUACCCAUACAAUUGUGUAGGUCAUACAUAUUUUCAAAGAAUGGUGAAAACGUGUGACAUUGUCAUCAAGACGUCAUCAAAAUGCAAUGUCAGAUUUUAAAAAAAUUGAAAAGUUGAACAAAGAAAUUGACUGGAGCGGAGUUUGAACCUGCGACCUCUCUCAGCCGUUACAGUUCACCUAGUCAGUUUCCCUUUGUGGUUCAGUUGAAGAUUUAAAAAAAUGAAAGGUUUUUUUUAAACUUCUCAAAAAUGGUUAAAGCCAGAUUAAUUCUUUUGGUAAUAUAAAUGUGCAAACUACAAAACACUCAAAACAGCUCCGUGUUUUGUCUACAAUGAAAUUGUUAGAGCUAACCCCUCUCAAUUAGAAAUGAAUUACCCAUAAUAUAUCUAGAAUCCUGUUGGAUCAUGUCUUUAACCACCUUGGUUGGGUUCCCUUUAAAUAUAGACCAAGAUACUUUUUUUGCUAGGAUGGGAAUAAACUGUGAAUUUGCAUCCAUCAAGUGCAAAAUUUUGUAAUCUCAUGUGUAAAAAUAAUGUCAUAUUUGUAGCUUUCACUGUACAAUAGCUCCUAUUUGUCAACUGUUUGUAAAAAAAA
Molecule: unclassified non-coding RNA, 2852 nt
Filed under: Patiria miniata (bat star)
Lineage: Eukaryota; Metazoa; Echinodermata; Asteroidea; Valvatida; Asterinidae
Description: nucleolin-like, transcript variant X1
Source: RNAcentral